Molecule: ribosomal RNA, 207 nt
Filed under: uncultured bacterium
Lineage: Bacteria
Description: partial 16S ribosomal RNA
Rfam family: Bacterial small subunit ribosomal RNA
Source: RNAcentral
UGCGUAGGCGGGUCUUUAAGUCAGGGGUGAAAUCCUGGAGCUCAACUCCAGAACUGCCUUUGAUACUGAGGAUCUUGAGUUCGGGAGAGGUGAGUGGAACUGCGAGUGUAGAGGUGAAAUUCGUAGAUAUUCGCAAGAACACCAGUGGCGAAGGCGACUCACUGGCCCGAUACUGACGCUGAGGCACGAAAGCGUGGGGAGCAAACA